Long non-coding RNA from Monopterus albus (swamp eel), 993 nucleotides. RefSeq lists it as uncharacterized. The record is from RefSeq and is a predicted model, not a curated record. The transcript is spliced from 2 exons. NCBI's taxonomy places the organism in Eukaryota, Metazoa, Chordata, Actinopteri, Synbranchiformes, Synbranchidae.
UUUUAUUCAGUGUAAAAGUCAGAUCUUACAAAAAUCACCAGAGAAACUUUCACAGCCAUGCAAAAACAAUUUGCAAUGCUUGUAAACAAAGAAGCCAUCCAUUACAACCGGUAUUAUGAUCCAAACAUUUGGCUUUAUUUACAAAGUCUAUCAAAGCUUGAUCACAGCACAAAUUUACCAUAUUAAAGAAAACUGGUAUACACUAUCAAAAAGAUGUACAAACUUUAAACUGCAAUCUAAUAAUGUACCUCAGUGUUAAUGUAUGGUCAAUGUUAAUAUCAAUAGAUUUAUAACUAACAGAUUUUUUUUUUUUAAAUUUGUAUUCAAAAUAAAUUUUGCACCAUAACCCUCUUAACUCACAAUUAUUUUCAGACAAUAGUAAUCCCAAUACAUGGUCAUUUUUAUCAAAUAUAUAUAUAUAUAUAUAUAGCACCACAAUAUAAUGGUUUAAUAUAUAGGGGAGAGUGGGCUAUCACAUACAAAAGACCCGUGUUAGUAUCCCAUUUAAAAAAAAAGUAAGAAAGAAAAGGAAAAACAGAUCUUCUUUUCCAGCCUGCUCCUCAUCACUGUCCACAUCUGACAGAAGAAACUACAACCACAACUGAGGCCUUUCUGUGGAAGCGCAUUACUGCCAGGAGAAGAAAAGGUGGAAAAGUCAAAAUUAUGAGAUGUGGAAACAGGCUUCCAUAACUUCCUGUUCACAGUGGAAGAGGAAGAACACAGACUGAAGACCCAACCAACAUGAACAGCCACAACAAAUAAAACAAGCCCACCACGACAUUGACACAAUGUGCUCUGUUCUAUAUGCAUUCACUUGAUCAGUACACCCACUCCCAAACCAAACCAAACCAAAGUUGCUUCCAUCUCAAGCUACUGAUGAUCAGACACUGAAUGCAGAUACCCAUGGCUGGAGGUCAGACUUGUUCCAUAUUUACAUUUAGGAAUUAAGGUGAAACACAAAAGUUCAAUAUCUAAAAGUGAGAAACAGAAAAA